Molecule: ribosomal RNA, 497 nt
Filed under: uncultured bacterium
Lineage: Bacteria
Description: partial 16S ribosomal RNA
Rfam family: Bacterial small subunit ribosomal RNA
Source: RNAcentral
GAUGAACGCUGGCGGCGUGCCUAAUACAUGCAAGUCGAGCGAACGGACGAGAAGCUUGCUUCUCUGAUGUUAGCGGCGGACGGGUGAGUAACACGUGGAUAACCUACCUAUAAGACUGGGAUAACUUCGGGAAACCGGAGCUAAUACCGGAUGAUAUUUUGAACCGCAUGGUUCAAAAGUGAAAGACGGUCUUGCUGUCACUUAUAGAUGGAUCCGCGCUGCAUUAGCUAGUUGGUAAGGUAACGGCUUACCAAGGCAACGAUGCAUAGCCGACCUGAGAGGGUGAUCGGCCACACUGGAACUGAGACACGGUCCAGACUCCUACGGGAGGCAGCAGUAGGGAAUCUUCAGCAAAGGGCGAAAGCCUGACGGAGCAACGCCGCGUGAGUGAUGAAGGUCUUCGGAUCGUAAAACUCUGUUAUUAGGGAAGAACAUAUGUGUAAGUAACUGUGCACAUCUUGACGGUACCUAAUCAGAAAGCCACGGCUAACUACGUG